RNAcentral lists this ribosomal RNA (497 nucleotides) under uncultured bacterium. Its description in RNAcentral is "partial 16S ribosomal RNA". It matches the Rfam family "Bacterial small subunit ribosomal RNA", at positions 28 to 507 of the family's 1533-position model. The record is from RNAcentral.
GAUGAACGCUGGCGGCGUGCCUAAUACAUGCAAGUCGAGCGAACAGACGCGGAUCUUGCUCCUCUGACGUUAGCGGCGGACGGGUGAGUAACACGUGGAUCACCUACCUAUAAGACUGGGAUAACUUCGGGAAACCGGAGCUAAUACCGGAUAAUAUAUUGAACCGCAUGGUUCAAUAGUGAAAGACGGUUUUGCUGUCACUUAUAGAUGGAUCCGCGCCGCAUUAGCUAGUUGGUAAGGUAACGGCUUACCAAGGCAACGAUGCGUAGCCGACCUGAGAGGGUGAUCGGCCACACUGGAACUGAGACACGGUCCAGACUCCUACGGGAGGCAGCAGUAGGGAAUCUUCCGCAAUGGGCGAAAGCCUGACGGAGCAACGCCGAGUGAGUGAUGAAGGUCUUCGGAUCGUAAAACUCUGUUAUUAGGGAAGAACAAAUGUGUAAGUAACUAUGCACGUCUUGACGGUAACUAAUCAGAAAGCCACGGCUAACUACGUG